Molecule: ribosomal RNA, 438 nt
Filed under: uncultured bacterium
Lineage: Bacteria
Description: partial 16S ribosomal RNA
Rfam family: Bacterial small subunit ribosomal RNA
Source: RNAcentral
CUACGGGUGGCUGCAGUGAGGAAUAUUGCACAAUGGGGGGAACCCUGAUGCAGCAACGCCGCGUGGAGGAUGACGCAUUUCGGUGUGUAAACUCCUUUUAUAUGUCAAGAAAAUGACGGUAGCAUAUGAAUAAGCACCGGCUAACUCCGUGCCAGCAGCCGCGGUAAUAGGAGGGUGCAAGCGUUACUCGGAAUCACUGGGCGUAAAGGACGCGUAGGCGGGUUGGAAAGUCAGGUGUGAAAUCCUACAGCUUAACUGUAGAACUGCACUUGAAACUUCUAAUCUAGAGUAUGGGAGGGGGAGAUGGAAUUAGUGGUGUAGGGGUAAAAUCCGUAGAUAUCACUAGGAAUACCUAAAGCGAAGGCGAUCUCCUGGAACAUUACCGACGCUAAGGCGUGAAAGCGUGGGGAGCAAACAGGAUUAGAUACCCGGGUAGUC